Molecule: ribosomal RNA, 253 nt
Filed under: uncultured bacterium
Lineage: Bacteria
Description: partial 16S ribosomal RNA
Rfam family: Bacterial small subunit ribosomal RNA
Source: RNAcentral
UACGGAGGGGGCUAGCGUUGUUCGGAAUUACUGGGCGUAAAGCGCACGUAGGCGGCUUUGUAAGUUAGAGGUGAAAGCCCGGGGCUCAACUCCGGAAUUGCCUUUAAGACUGCAUCGCUCGAAUUGUGGAGAGGUAAGUGGAAUUCCGAGUGUAGAGGUGAAAUUCGUAGAUAUUCGCAAGAACACCAGUGGCGAAGGCGGCUCACUGGCCCGGUACUGACGCUGAGGCACGAAAGCGUGGGGAGCAAACAGG